CGGCGAACGGGUGAGUAACGCGUGGAUUAUCUGCCCUGAGGUGGGGGAUAACCCGGGGAAACUCGGGCUAAUACCGCAUGACACCGUGAGGUCAAAGGGGGCCGCAAGGCUCUCGCCAUGGGAGGAGUCCGCGUUCGAUUAGCUAGUUGGUAGGGUAAUGGCCUACCAAGGCGACGAUCGAUAGCCGGCCUGAGAGGGUGAUCGGCCACACUGGAACUGAGACACGGUCCAG
Molecule: ribosomal RNA, 232 nt
Filed under: uncultured bacterium
Lineage: Bacteria
Description: partial 16S ribosomal RNA
Rfam family: Bacterial small subunit ribosomal RNA
Source: RNAcentral